GACGAACGCUGGCGGCGUGCUUAACACAUGCAAGUCGAACGGAAAGGCCCUGCUUUUGUGGGGUGCUCGAGUGGCGAACGGGUGAGUAACACGUGAGUAACCUGCCCUUGACUUUGGGAUAACUUCAGGAAACUGGGGCUAAUACCGGAUAGGAGCUCCUGCCGCAUGGUGGGGGUUGGAAAGUUUCGGCGGUUGGGGAUGGACUCGCGGCUUAUCAGCUUGUUGGUGGGGUAGUGGCUUACCAAGGCUUUGACGGGUAGCCGGCCUGAGAGGGUGACCGGCAACAUUGGGACUGAGAUACGGCCCAGACUCCUACGGGAGGCAGCAGUGGGGAAUAUUGCACAAUGGGCGGAAGCCUGAUGCAGCAACGCCGCGUGCGGGAUGACGGCCUUCGGGUUGUAAACCGCUUUCGCCUGUGACGAAGCGUGAGUGACGGUAAUGGGUAAAGAAGCACCGGCUAACUACGUG
RNAcentral lists this ribosomal RNA (468 nucleotides) under uncultured bacterium. RNAcentral describes it as "partial 16S ribosomal RNA". It matches the Rfam family "Bacterial small subunit ribosomal RNA", at positions 28 to 507 of the family's 1533-position model. The record is from RNAcentral.